RNAcentral lists this ribosomal RNA (865 nucleotides) under Fusarium solani. RNAcentral's name for it is "LSU rRNA". It matches the Rfam family "Eukaryotic large subunit ribosomal RNA", at positions 31 to 926 of the family's 3401-position model. The record is from RNAcentral. Lineage: Eukaryota; Fungi; Ascomycota; Sordariomycetes; Hypocreales; Nectriaceae.
AACUUAAGCAUAUCAAUAAGCGGAGGAAAAGAAACCAACAGGGAUUGCCCCAGUAACGGCGAGUGAAGCGGCAACAGCUCAAAUUUGAAAUCUGGCUCUCGGGCCCGAGUUGUAAUUUGUAGAGGAUGCUUUUGGUGAGGUGCCUUCCGAGUUCCCUGGAACGGGACGCCAUAGAGGGUGAGAGCCCCGUCUGGUUGGACACCGAUCCUCUGUAAAGCUCCUUCGACGAGUCGAGUAGUUUGGGAAUGCUGCUCUAAAUGGGAGGUAUAUGUCUUCUAAAGCUAAAUACCGGCCAGAGACCGAUAGCGCACAAGUAGAGUGAUCGAAAGAUGAAAAGAACUUUGAAAAGAGAGUUAAAAAGUACGUGAAAUUGUUGAAAGGGAAGCGCUUGUGACCAGACUUGGGCUUGGUUGAUCAUCCGGGGUUCUCCCCGGUGCACUCUUCCGGCUCAGGCCAGCAUCAGUUCGCCCUGGGGGAUAAAGGCUUCGGGAAUGUGGCUCUCUCCGGGGAGUGUUAUAGCCCGCUGCGUAAUACCCUGUGGCGGACUGAGGUUCGCGCAUUCGCAAGGAUGCUGGCGUAAUGGUCAUCAGUGACCCGUCUUGAAACACGGACCAAGGAGUCGUCUUCGUAUGCGAGUGUUCGGGUGUCAAACCCCUACGCGAAAUGAAAGUGAACGCAGGUGAGAGCUUCGGCGCAUCAUCGACCGAUCCUGAUGUUAUCGGAUGGAUUUGAGUAAGAGCAUACGGGGCCGGACCCGAAAGAAGGUGAACUAUGCCUGUGUAGGGUGAAGCCAGAGGAAACUCUGGUGGAGGCUCGCAGCGGUUCUGACGUGCAAAUCGAUCGUCAAACAUGGGCAUGGGGGCGA